UACGAGGGGGGCAAAUGUUGUUCGGAAUCACUGGGCGUAAAGGGAGCGUAGGCGGGUUUCUAAGUCAGGGGUGAAAUCCUGGAGCUCAACUCCAGAACUGCCUUUGAUACUGAAGAUCUUGAGUUCGGGAGAGGUGAGUGGAACUGCGAGUGUAGAGGUGAAAUUCGUAGAUAUUCGCAAGAACACCAGUGGCGAAGGCGGCUCACUGGCCCGAUACUGACGCUGAGGCACGAAAGCGUGGGGAGCAAACAGG
RNAcentral lists this ribosomal RNA (253 nucleotides) under uncultured bacterium. RNAcentral's name for it is "partial 16S ribosomal RNA". It matches the Rfam family "Bacterial small subunit ribosomal RNA", at positions 524 to 776 of the family's 1533-position model. The record is from RNAcentral.